Long non-coding RNA from Ipomoea triloba (trilobed morning glory), 3006 nucleotides. RefSeq lists it as uncharacterized. The transcript has 4 exons. Lineage: Eukaryota; Viridiplantae; Streptophyta; Magnoliopsida; Solanales; Convolvulaceae. The record is from RefSeq and is a predicted model, not a curated record.
CUAAAUAUCUUGAGUUAUUGUGGCAUAUUAAGUAUGCUACUAACACUAUAUAUAAUAAAUCAUGCAGCUGGAGCGUAAUCAUAGUCUCCGUCAUCAUCGUCUCCAUCUCCUUCUAAGCAUGUUGCUGGAGCAUAAUUGUAUCCAUCAUCACCAUAGGCAUCUCCAUCAGCUUCAUUCUUGUAUCCCAAACCAAUGAUCUUGAGAACAGUAGACAUUCUCUUCUGUUGUUCAGAACGAUAAGUGUAUUGGGGCUGGAUUGAGAAGACCAAUGCUAUGUGGCUGGUAUUCCUUGAAUUGAGAAUGGUUGUGAAGGGUAAGCUAUCUGCCUUUUAUAAAGGGAAGAGUCACCAUUGAACUCGUUUUGGCGUAGGGCUGGCAUGUGGGGAGUGUGGAGCAUUUCCUGAGGAAUGUGUCGAAUCAGAUUGAGGCUGGAUGUGAAGGUUAAGCUAUCUGCCUUUUAUAAAGGGAAGAGCCACCAUUGAGUGCAUUUUGGCAUAGGGCUGGCAUGUGGGGAGUGUGGAGUGUUUCCUGAGGAAUGUGCCGAACCUCGGAACCAGAAGCUUUGCUGAUUUUACCAACUUCUUGGAUAGCCACAUCAGAAAUGCACUUGACAUGUCAGAUUAUUGCUUUCAAAUGAUAGUAUGUGAUGGAGCAUCUUGUGGGUCCAUGCCUGGGUUGUAUAAAGGGUUGCAGUUCAAUUGAGGCUGAUUACCACACAUGAGUUCACAAUUAGAGAUCCAUCUUGCUCUGAAAUGAAGGAAACUGUUCUACAAUUGUCAGACUUUUUAAAGGAUUUUCAAAACUUAGUUUCAUAGGUCGAGCACAUGAGAUGUGGGUUGCAGACACUGAUGAGCUGGAGCGUAAUCAUAGUCUCCGUCAUCAUCAUCUCCAUCUUCUUCUAAGCAUGUUGCUGGAGCAUAAUUGUAUCCACCGUCACCAUAAGCAUCUCCAUGAGGUUCAUUCCUGUAUCCCAAACCAAUGAUCUUGAGAACAGUAGACAUUCUCUUCUGUUAUUCAGAACGAUGAGAGUAUUGGGGCAGAGCUUAGAAGACCGAUGCUAUGCAGCUAGUAUUCCUUGAAUUGAGCAUGGAUAUGAAGGGUAAGCUAUCUGCCUUUUAUAAAGGGAAGAGCCACCAUUGAACUUGUUUUGGCGUAGGGCUGGCAUGUGGAGAGUGUUGAGCGUUACCUGAGGAAUGUGCCGAAUCAGAUUGAGGAUGGAUGUGAAGGGUAAGCUAUCUGCCUUCUAUAAAGGGAAGAGCCACCAUUGAACUCAGUUUGGCAUAAGGCUGGCAUGUGGGGAGUGUGGAGUGUUUCCUGAGGAAUGUGCCAAACCAGAAGCUUUGCUGAAUGUACCAACUUCUUGAGUAGCCACAUCAGAAGGGAACUUGACAUGUCAGCUUAUUGCUGUCAAAUGAUACUGUUUAUGGAGCAUCUUUUGGGCCAUGCCUGGGUCAUAUAAAGGUCUGACUAUUGUGCAUAUAUGAUGGUUGGCAAAGGAAUCUUAUUAUCAAUGUGGAUUCUGGAAUAUAGAUAUGCUAAACUUAUUGUGAAGAAACUAUCUUAGGAGCAUGAUUACAGUGAUUUAUUCAUCGCUAGAAAUUGAAAACCUGAAUAGUCUUCUACUCAUCUACAGUGCUUGCAAAAUAAGCAUGAAUAAGCUAAAUUAAAUCCAUCAGAAAUAAAAUGUUACACGUGGCUUAUAUGCUCCAGAACACCCUCCCCCACCCCUCUUCCCCUUCUCAAGUUAUAUACUUUGUAGAUAUACUAGAAAUUCUUUGUAUCUUUAAGGUUGAAUACUUAUAGGAUCUAUGUUGACUAGAAAUACUUUCUCCAUAUGAAACUUAAUCUAUUUUUUACUCCUGAAAUUCUCUGUGGUAAAAAGUUAGCCAGGAUUGCAGUUACAUUGAGGCUGAUGACCAUACAUGAGUGCACAAUUAGAGAUCCAUCUUGCUCUACAAUCGCCAGACUUUUUUUCAGGAAUUUCAAAACUUAAUAUCAUCGGUUGAGCACAUGAGAAGUGGGUUGCAGACACUGAUGAGCUGGAGCGUAAUCAUAGUCUCCAUCAUCAUCGUCUCCAUCUCCUUCUAAGCAUGUUGCUGGAGCAUAAUUGUAUCCAUCAUCACCAUAGGCAUCUCCAUCAGAUUCAUUCCUGUAUCCCAAACCAAUGAUCUUGAGAACAGCAGACAUUCUUUUCUGUUAUUAGAACGAUGAGCGUAUUGGGGCAGGGUUUAGAAGACCAAUGCUAUGCUAGUAUUCCUUGAAUUGAGAAUGGAUGUGAAGGGUAAACUAUCUGCCUUUUAUAAAGGGAAGAACCACCAUUCAACUCGUGUUGACACAGGGCUGGCACGUGGCCAUGUGGGGAGUGUGGAGUGUUACCUGAAGAAUGUGUCGAAUCAGAUUGAGGAUGGAUGUGAAGGAUAAGCUAUCUGCCUUUUAUAAAGGGGCGAGCCACCAUUGAACGCAUUUUGGCAUAGCGCUGGCAUGUGGGGAGUGUGGAGUGUUUCUUGAGGAAUGUGCCAAACCAGAGGCUUUGCUGAAGUUACCAAUUUCUUGCGUAUCCACAUCAGAAAUGCACUUGACAUGUCAGCUUAUUGCUGUCUUAGUUGUAGAAAGGUGAGACUAUUCUGCAUAGAUGGUGGUUGGCAAAGGAAUCUUAUUAUCAAUGUGGACUGUGGAAUAUAGAUAUGCUAAACUCUUUAUGAAGAAACUAUCUAAGGAGCAUGUUUACAGUGAUUUAUUCAUCUCUUGAAAUUGAAAACCUGAAUAGUCUUCUACACAUCUACAGUGCUUGCAAAAUAAGCAUGAAUAAGCUAAAUUAAAUCCAUCAGAAAGAAAAUGUUACAUGUGGCUUAUAAGCUCCACAACACCCUCCCCCACCCCUCUUCCCCCUCUCAAGUUAGAUAGUUUGUAGAUAUACUUAAAAUUCUUUGUAUCUUUAAGGUUGAAUACUUAUAGGAUCUAUGUUGACUAGAAAUACUUUCUCCAUGUGAAACUUAAUCUGUUUUU